RNAcentral lists this ribosomal RNA (467 nucleotides) under uncultured bacterium. RNAcentral describes it as "partial 16S ribosomal RNA". It matches the Rfam family "Bacterial small subunit ribosomal RNA", at positions 28 to 507 of the family's 1533-position model. The record is from RNAcentral.
GACGAACGCUGGCGGCGUGCUUAACACAUGCAAGUCGAACGGAAAGGCCCUGCUUUUGUGGGGUGCUCGAGUGGCGAACGGGUGAGUAACACGUGAGUAACCCGCCCUUGACUUUGGGAUAACUUCAGGAAACUGGGGCUAAUACCGGAUAGGAGCUCCUGCUGCAUGGUGGGGGUUGGAAAGUUUCGGCGGUUGGGGAUGGACUCGCGGCUUAUCAGCUUGUUGGUGGGGUAGUGGCUUACCAAGGCUUUGACGGGUAGCCGGCCUGAGAGGGUGACCGGCCACGGUGGGAACGAGUACGGGCCCAAGCUCUGAGGGGUGGCGGGCGAGGGGAAGGUUCCAGAAGGGGCGGAGGCGUGUGCCGGCAGACCGCGCUGGGGGUUGUAGGCUUCUGGGUUGUAAACCGAUUGUGCGGGAAACGAAGCGUAGUGCAGGGAAAGGAUGAAAAAGGACCGGGUAAACUAGUG